Molecule: ribosomal RNA, 433 nt
Filed under: uncultured bacterium
Lineage: Bacteria
Description: partial 16S ribosomal RNA
Rfam family: Bacterial small subunit ribosomal RNA
Source: RNAcentral
AACGAACGCUGGCGGCAUGCCUAACACAUGCAAGUCGAACGAGACCUUCGGGUCUAGUGGCGCACGGGUGCGUAACGCGUGGGAACCUGCCCUUAGGUUCGGAAUAACUCCCCGAAAGGGGUGCUAAUACCGGAUAAUGUCUUCGGACCAAAGAUUUAUCGCCUUUGGAUGGGCCCGCGUUGGAUUAGCUAGUUGGUAGGGUAAAAGCCUACCAAGGCGACGAUCCAUAGCUGGUCUGAGAGGAUGAUCAGCCACACUGGGACUGAGACACGGCCCAGAAUCCUACGGGAGGCAGCAGUGGGGAAUAUUGGACAAUGGGCGAAAGCCUGAUCCAGCAAGGCCGGGUGAGUGAUGAAGGCCUUAGGGUUGUAAAGCUCUUUUACCCGGGAUGAUAAUGACAGUACCGGGAGAAUAAGCUCCGGCUAACUCCGUG